Molecule: long non-coding RNA, 549 nt
Organism: Pieris napi
Lineage: Eukaryota; Metazoa; Arthropoda; Insecta; Lepidoptera; Pieridae
Exons: 2
Source: RefSeq, a predicted model, not a curated record
AUAAAUAUUGUGGUAAUUAAUGCCUAAAACAAAUAAACAUAUAUUAAUAAUGAAAUGGUUAUUUAUAAAUAUAUAACAUUUAAUAUUGUCUGUUAACUUUUUCUGUGGGUAAGUUGGUAACCCUCAAUCUGUAUAGAAUGAAGCUAAAUUUUAUUAAUAACUUAGGAUAAAUCUACAAAAUAUGCCACUCUUAUCUCGAGACAGUUGGAACAAUGGUCUUUACAGUUUAGAACCUCACCUCGUGACUCCAAACUGCACGCUCAUAGCACAACCAAAUGUUGCGAUGGCAACACCAAGAGGUAUUAAGAAGCUACCGGCACCGAGAACUCGAUCACCAAACGCGACAGCCACAGCCGGGACUGAAGUCAUCUCAGUAAAGCUUAGAGCAGACAUGUAGGCUACGUUCAUAAAUACGUAGAGUGCUGUGAUGAGAGGCACUGCUAUGGAUAUGCUCAGAGGGACAUUCCUAUAAAAAUACAAACUGUGUAAUUGACAGGCUUGCUACAGUGAAGAUAUGUAAACAAAAAAAAUAAAUAUCUUUUAAAAUUA